RNAcentral lists this ribosomal RNA (502 nucleotides) under uncultured bacterium. RNAcentral describes it as "partial 16S ribosomal RNA". It matches the Rfam family "Bacterial small subunit ribosomal RNA", at positions 28 to 507 of the family's 1533-position model. The record is from RNAcentral.
GACGAACGCUGGCGGCGUGCCUAAUACAUGCAAGUCGAACGAACCGCGACUAAGUGCUUGCACUAAGUCAAGGUGAGUGGCGAACGGGUGAGUAACACGUGGGUAACCUACCUCAUAGUAGGGGAUAACAGUCGGAAACGACUGCUAAUACCGCAUAGGACAUAGGAUCACAUGAUCCAGUGAGGAAAGGUGGCGCAAGCUAUCGCUAAGAGAUGGACCCGCGGUGCAUUAGCUAGUUGGUAGGGUAAAGGCCUACCAAGGCGAUGAUGCAUAGCCGACCUGAGAGGGUGAUCGGCCACAUUGGGACUGAGACACGGCCCAAACUCCUACGGGAGGCAGCAGUAGGGAAUCUUCCGCAAUGGACGCAAGUCUGACGGAGCAACGCCGCGUGAGUGAAGAAGGUCUUCGGAUCGUAAAGCUCUGUUGUUAGAGAAGAACAGCGCAUAGAGUAACUGCUAUGCGUGUGACGGUAUCUAACCAGAAAGCCACGGCUAACUACGUG